GGGGUCGACUGGAUUUGACAGCUUGCGAUAGGGGAAUGUAAGCACGCGGGGAGUUGGAGUAUUUCCCCUAAAUAAAACUUUCAAAACAAUAACUGGCGAAGAAUCUUACGCCCUUGCUGCUUAAUCUGGAUAGAUAGGCAAAUGCAAGUGUCCCGCCGAAGCGCACGCUUUACCGCGUCGGAUAAGGGGCAUCGCAAAGUAGAGCUAAUCUGUGUCAGCCGUGAGGCAUAGGUGAAACCCAAACGGAUAAGGAAGGUGCUUGCCAGUUGCCAGCGUACACUUUCCCGACAAUCUAAAGGUAACUAAGCGUGUAGAAAGCAAUCUUGCUUCCUUGACUGGACGAGGGUUCGAAUCCCUCCGACUCCACAA
This 369-nucleotide transfer-messenger RNA is filed under the name Flexibacter flexilis. RNAcentral's name for it is "Standard tmRNA". It matches the Rfam family "transfer-messenger RNA". From Rfam's summary of the family: Bacterial tmRNA, also known as 10Sa RNA or SsrA, is named for its dual tRNA and mRNA-like properties. The record is from RNAcentral. RNAcentral also lists the same sequence under 1 other name. Lineage: Bacteria; Pseudomonadati; Bacteroidota; Cytophagia; Cytophagales; Flexibacteraceae.